CAAAGACAUUCUGUCAUUUUCAUUGUCAUAUAUUCUUUUCUUAUUUUUUAAACUGUAUUAAAAAUUUGAUUUAUGCCUAUCAAUUAUUGAAGAUGUUUUCUCUUUCUACCUAAGGUCAAGUUGAGAGAGAAAUUCCCCUUGGAGGUUUCUGUUGAAAUUUCCACCUAUUCUGGAUAUGAGAUUUCUCCCUUGACCUCUGUACUUCUUGAGGUCAUUAAAAUCUAAGCUUGGCUUUCUUUGGUUUGGCAAACACCCUCAGCAUUUUAAAUAUGUUGUUCCAAUGUCAUCUGUUCUUAAUGGUUUCUGAUGUCACAUCCACCAUCAUUUGAAUCAUUGUUCCACCACAGAAUACCACAGACUGGGUGAUUUAUAAAGAAAAUGAAUUAUUUCUCACAGUUCUUGAGGUUGGGAAGUCCAGGAGCAUGACAUGGAAGCUCCACAGCAGCCUUGAAAAUAAACAGCAUUACAACUACAGUAGCUGUGAAUCCAGCAGCCAAGCAGCCACUGGAGGGCAGUUCUGUCUCUCUUGCUACCUUGUGAAGAAGAAUUCAACCGCUUCGCCUUCCACCGUGAUUACGUUUCCUGAAGCAUUCCUAGCCACGUGGAACUGUGAGUCAAUUAAAUCCUUUUCCUUUAUAAAUUACCCAAUUUCAAGUAUUUCUUCAUAGAAGCUUGAGAAGGAACUAUUAGCCUGGUGCAAAGGUAAUUGUAGUUUGUGCCAUUGUUUUUAAAGUAAGGGUCAAACCUGCAAUUACUUCCACACCAACCUAAUAAUACAUAUACUAUCCAGACUUCUUGGUUUUCAAAAGUUUCUCUGUUGUAAACACUCCAAUGAUAGUAUAAUCGCAUUGCUAUUUUUCUUUUAGAAGUUUAUUUGCCAAAAUCCAUAACAUAGAAGAAGAUAGAAAUAAUUGGUGCUUAAUUGGUUUACAGUUAUAUCAGAGGCAAUCAUAGUAUGAGUGAAGACCUCAUAAGGAUAGAAUCAUAUCAGUAAUGUUUAUAUCUUCUGUGAAUUAUUAUGAAGCUUUAGUGUCUCUAUUUCUCUACUGAAAUGUAUGUACAGUACCUAGUGUUUCCUCCUAAGUACUUGGGCUUCUCCGACCUGCAGCAUAUAGGCCACAAGCAGCCCAGCGCAGCUUUGAAUGUGGCCCAACACAAAUUUAUAAAUUUUCUUAAAACAUUAUGAGAUUAAAAAAAAAUUUUCUUAGCUCAUCAGCUAUUGUUAGUGUUAGCACAUUUCAUGUGUGGCCAAAGACAAUUCUUCUUCCAGUGUGACCCAGGGAAGCCAAAAGAUUAGAUACUCCAGACUUCAGUGAUUGAAUAUAAAGGACUAUUAAAAAGGUUCUUCAUUUAGCACUCUAGACAGGAGGACAAUUUAUUGCUAAAAUUUUCAGUUUACCGAUUUUAUUUUAUAGCUGCUUUGUCAAAGUUUACAUAUUUUUAAGAUUUUACAAAGCAAUUGUAUGUUAAAUAAAAUUCAGAAAGCAAAUAGAAUAUUAAUAUCUCACAUUAUAUAAUAUAUAAUUUAUACACAGGUAUAUAUACACACAAAAUAUACAUAUAUACAUAUAAAAUAUAUACAUAUAUGUAUACAUUUUUAUAUAUACAUAUGUAUCCAUAUACAAAUAUAUAUACACAAUAAAAUGUACAUAUACA
Molecule: long non-coding RNA, 1656 nt
Filed under: Callithrix jacchus (white-tufted-ear marmoset)
Lineage: Eukaryota; Metazoa; Chordata; Mammalia; Primates; Cebidae
Description: lncRNA (ENSCJAG00000087082.1)
Source: RNAcentral